Non-coding RNA from Microcebus murinus (gray mouse lemur), 2802 nucleotides. NCBI's taxonomy places the organism in Eukaryota, Metazoa, Chordata, Mammalia, Primates, Cheirogaleidae. The record is from RefSeq and is a predicted model, not a curated record.
GCCUAUAUGUUACCUCUUGAGAACCUCUGUAGUAGAAAUAUCAUCUAAGGUAGCUUAGUGAAUGGUUUCCGAGGAAUAUGCACUGCAGCUGCACCUUCGGGUGCCCGUGCCACCUUGAAGUCAUGCUCAAGUAGGGUGCAAAGUAGUUUCUAGCCUUUUAAAAGACAAAAAUCUUAAACCUUAUACGUCAACAUGUCAUUAGAACAAAAGCCUUUUCCUUUUUGAUCUCAGUUUGCAAAUAGAUAAGCUUAAUAUCUUGCUUGGCAAAAUGUUUACACGUCAGACUUGUUAAAUGUGGUAAUAUAGCAAUAAUAUUUCUGCCCAGUUUUUUCUUCAGUUUUAAGUGGAAAUAUCUACCUUUGAUGUCAGUGAAAUUUUUACUUUAUUGUGAUAUUGAGAAUGUUAAGUGUCAGUGAAUUUGAUGGAUAGCUUAGAAUUGAAUCUUUGUAUUCAAUAUUUUAGUGCUGUAUAUUUUCAUUUAAGUUAUGGUCUUUAAAUCUUGGAGAAAAUACUGUUUUGUUCUUCUUGGUGAAAUUUUGUAGUGGGUUUUCUGUUGCCAUUUUAAAAUAUUCAGAUGAAAUGUGAACUCUAUUAAAAAAGAAAUCUUUUAAAGCAUAACUUCACCUUCAUGGCUCUAUAAAAAUAAUCAAGUGAUUUAGGUUAAAAGCAUUGUAUUUUAAACAGUUGGUCACUAAACUCCAAAUGAAAGCUGCUUCUGUGAGAUUUUCAUUGAUGUUACUUGGUUUGUUUAUUUUUCCCCUAGACAAAAGAGUAAGCAAGCAGUAUGUGGUGGGAAAACUGAAACACUGCAUACUGUUUCUUUAAGAAACCAGCUUAUCCGGGGGGUUUUAGUGUGUCUGACCUAACCUGCUAGCAAGGAAAAGUUCUUUAAAAUAAUGGAUAUUAGCCGUGUCCAAUCACAGUUACCAGCUCCACUACCAGGGAGGAGAUUUUACUCCUCGGCCACUAGAAUUGGAGAAGGUGGAGCCUGGUAUUCAGGCUUGGUUGCUUUGGAGUACAGCUUCAAGUGAAGUUAAUCUGAGGUGAAGCAAACAGAAAAUUGUGGAGGUUUUGUUGUUGCCACAGCUUUCCUACUUUACGUCAGCGGUGGUACUGAAGCUGGAGUGAGGCCCGUGAGGACUGGCUUUGCCAUUUAGAGGAUAUGGCAGCCACUUUCCGUGAAUCACACGAGCUACAUGGCUGUGUCCAAGACUUUGAGAAGUGAAUGAAUCUGAAGUCUGCUGCAGUAAAACACUGAAGGCUUUAAAAUGUUUUCUUGCAUAAAACUCAAACUUUAAGUAGCUGCUUAUGAGGAUAGGGAAGGCAGGAAGCUAAUGUCUGUCUCAAGAUACAGGACAGCUGUUUGCUCAUCAACCUCAACUGUGUGUGCAGCAGAGGAACAUGGCUCAAGAAACUAAUCACAGCCAAGUGCCUAUGCUUUGUUCCACUGGCUGCGGAUUUUAUGGAAACCCUCGUACAAAUGGCAUGUGUUCAGUGUGCUAUAAAGAACAUCUUCAAAGACAGAAUAGUAGUAAUGGUAGAAUAAGCCCACCUGCAACCUCUGUCAGUAGUCUGUCCGAGCCUCUGCCGGCUCAGUGCACAGAUGGCAGUGUCCCAGAAGCCCGGUCAGCGCCAGACGCCACGCCUUCAUCUACGCAGCCAAGCCCUGUAUCAAAUCAGUCACUUUUAUCAGAAUCUGUAGCAUCUUCCCAAGUGGACAGUACAUCUGUGGACAAAGCAGUACCUGAAACAGAAGAUCUGCAAGCUUCAGUAUCAGACACGGCACAGCAGCCAUCUGAAGAGCAAAGCAAGUCUCUUGAAAAACCAAAACAAAAAAAGAAUCGCUGUUUCAUGUGCAGGAAGAAAGUGGGACUUACUGGGUUUGAAUGCCGGUGUGGAAAUGUUUACUGUGGUGUACACCGUUACUCAGACGUACACAAUUGCUCUUACAAUUACAAAGCUGAUGCUGCUGAGAAAAUCAGAAAAGAAAAUCCAGUAGUUGUUGGUGAAAAGAUCCAGAAGAUUUGAACUCCUGCUGGAAUACAAAAUCCUUUGACCAUCUGCAAACUAAAAAUUGACUUGACUUUUUUUUCCUAGUCAUUGGGAAUGUAGAGCAAUGUAUCUUGCAUAGACCUUUUAAUCAUGCAUGUCAUCAGAAGAAUAGAUUUUUGUUUUUGUUUUGAAAAUGACUCUGAACAUUUAUUUCCAUUGCAGUUUCUGUGGCUGAAAAGACUUAAACUUUACAAGUAUUAUCCUUUUGAGAUCAUUUUAAUUUUAGUUGAGUGCAGAGGGCUUUUAUAACAAACAUGGAGAAAUUUUGGAGGGCUGUGAUUUUUCCAGUAUUAAACAUGCAUGCGUUAAUCUUGCAGUUUAUUUUCUCAUUGUGUGUAUAUAUAGCUUUUCUCUGCAGCACGAUUUCUCUUUUGAUAAUGCCCCGAAGGGCACAACUAGUUAUCAGUAACUGAAUGUAUCUUAGUCAUUACGGCUGCUUCUGUUUUUUCAUUAACAAAGGUUAUUCAUAUGUUAGCAUAUAGUUUCUUUGCACCCACUAUUUAUGUCAGAAUCAUUUGUCACAGGAGAAUGUGUGCUGAUGAGAUUCUAAGUUUGUGUGUUUUAAUUUUUUUUUUUUUUUUUUUGAGCAAGGGGAGAAAAAGCUGCAUGCAUUUCAUUGCUGACUGCCGGUUUCUUCCAGAUUACGCUCAUGAGUCUGUGUGUAUAAGAUAUGAAGAAUGAUCUGAAGUAAUUGUGCUGUAUUUAUGUUUAUCCACCAGUCUUUGAUUAAAUAAAAAGGAAAAACCAGAA